GAGAAGAAAUGAUACACAGAGACUGCUAACCAUCUGACCCGCGGUUAAAUUCCACGAUCUUCUC
Molecule: transfer RNA, 64 nt
Filed under: Hemidactylium scutatum (four-toed salamander)
Lineage: Eukaryota; Metazoa; Chordata; Amphibia; Caudata; Plethodontidae
Description: tRNA-Ser
Source: RNAcentral